Molecule: long non-coding RNA, 523 nt
Filed under: Lupinus angustifolius (narrow-leaved blue lupine)
Lineage: Eukaryota; Viridiplantae; Streptophyta; Magnoliopsida; Fabales; Fabaceae
Description: long non-coding RNA (LANG_LNC001352)
Source: RNAcentral
UAUGUAAAUGAGACUUGAUUGUUCAUAAAAUAUAUUAUUCCUCCAAAUUUAAGGACAUGGCCUACAAAUUGGAAUUUGGUUCACAACAACAAUGGAAAAUUUGAUAAGUAUACAUAUCGUUGUCUUCAUAGCAUACUGGGUGAUAAUAAGGGCCAUGAAAUUUGCAACUUUUAUCACAGAAAGCGUAGCAGGCUUUUCUUGUUGUGAAAUCUCUCAAACAAAAUCUUGGAUGUUCACUAUCACACGUACCUACAAUCAUUGUAUAUGAAAUAUUCAUUAAAAGAUAAGAAUGUAAACGUACAAAGAAUAGUAUGAGUAAACUAAAUAUUGAAAUCUUGUAUCUUUGUUUUAUUAUUUGUUUACAUACCAUGAAAGAAAAGAAGAAAUCCAACAAGGAUUGCAAAGACAAAUUUCAGCUGAGCCAUGGAAGUGUGUGCCGUAGUCAUUCUUGUGUAGACUUCUUUUUUAUAGUAGAAUUGAUUUGUGACAAGUGAAAUGGCCUAGUUUAUAUAAUCCAUAUUCU